RNAcentral lists this ribosomal RNA (782 nucleotides) under uncultured bacterium. RNAcentral describes it as "partial 16S ribosomal RNA". The record is from RNAcentral.
GUAUCUAAUCCUGUUCGCUACCCACGCUUUCGCACCUCAGUGUCAGUACAGAUCCAGGAGGCCGCCUUCGCCACUGGUAUUCUUCAUAAUAUCUACGCAUUCCACCGCUACACUAUGAAUUCUACCUCCCUCUAUCGUACUCUAGUGAGUUAGUUUUGGAUGCAGUUCCUAGGUUGAGCCCAGGGCUUUCACAUCCAACUUAACAAACCACCUACGCGCGCUUUACGCCCAGUAAUUCCGAUUAACGCUUGCACCUUCCGUAUUACCGCGGCUGCUGGCACGGAAUUAGCCGGUGCUUAUUCUGCAGGUAACAUCAAGGUUAUAAGGUAUUAGCUUAUAACUUUUUCUCCCUGCUUAAAGUGCUUUACAACCCGAAGGCCUUCUUCACACACGCGGUAUGGCUGGAUCAGGCUUGCGCCCAUUGUCCAAUAUUCCCCACUGCUGCCUCCCGUAGGAGUCUGGGCCGUGUCUCAGUCCCAAUGUGGCUGAUCGUCCUCUCAGACCAGCUAAAGAUCGUUGCCUUGGUGAGCCUUUACCUCACCAACAAGCUAAUCUUACGCAGGCUCAUCUAGUAGCGAAAGCUUCAAAGAGAGGCCUUCUUUCUCCCGAAGGAGGUAUACGGUAUUAAUCCGGGUUUCCCCGGGCUAUCCCCUUCUACUAGGUAGAUUCCUACGCGUUACUCACCCGUCCGCCGCUGUACUCGUAUCCGAAGAUACUUUCUCGCACGACUUGCAUGUGUUAAGCCUACCGCCAGCGUUCAAUCUGAGCCAGGAUCAAACUCU